ACUCUCCUCACACUCAUUGACAAGUCACCGUUCGCCUCGGGAACAGCACUUUGUGGUCAAAUAAACCCAUAAUUCAUGGUUCUCCCCGUGACUGCGUGGGUUCCCUCCGGGUACUCCGGCUUCCUCCCACCUCCAAAGACAUGCACCUGGGGAUAGGUUGAUUGGCAACACUAAAUUGUCCUUGGUGUGUGAAUGUGAGUGUGAAUGUUGUCUGUCUAUCUGUGUUGGCCCUGUGAUGAUGUGGGGACUUUUCCAGGGUGUACCCCGCCUUUUGCCCGAAUGCAGCUGAGAUAGGCUCCAGCCCCCCCUGACCUCAAAAGGGACAAAGUGUUAGAAAAUGGAUGGAUGCUUGUUAGCUUGCAGGCUACUUUGUGAUUUAUGAUGUUAUGAAUAGUUUGAGAGAGCUCUACCAUUUGUAUUCUGGUGAAAGAAGGAUGCUUAACUUUUGUGAGUCAGAAGUCAAAAAGGCAACAUAAUGUUGUGUUCCAUUUCUACUUGGAAGUCAAAAAUGUCAACGACAACGUCCCAUGAGUUUGGAUGUCCUACGGGGAAAGUCAAAGAAGUCCUCAUCACCCCUUAGUUGGCUUCAAAGAUGGCUGCUCUGACUGUAAACUAUAAAAGAAGUUUCUGUAA
Nerophis ophidion (straightnose pipefish) is the source of this 633-nucleotide long non-coding RNA. RefSeq lists it as uncharacterized. Lineage: Eukaryota; Metazoa; Chordata; Actinopteri; Syngnathiformes; Syngnathidae. The record is from RefSeq and is a predicted model, not a curated record. The transcript is spliced from 2 exons.